UACGAGGGGGGCAAGCGUUGUUCGGAAUUAUUGGGCGUAAAGGGCGCGUAGGCGGUGCGGUAAGUCACCUGUGAAAACUCUGGGCUCAACUCAGAGCCUGCAGGCGAAACUGCCGUGCUUGAGUGUGGGAGAGGUGCGUGGAAUUCCCGGUGUAGCGGUGAAAUGCGUAGAUAUCGGGAAGAACACCGAUGGCGAAAGCAGUCUGCUGGGCUCAUCCUGACACUGAGACACGAAAGCGUGGGUAGCGAACGGG
Molecule: ribosomal RNA, 253 nt
Filed under: uncultured bacterium
Lineage: Bacteria
Description: partial 16S ribosomal RNA
Rfam family: Bacterial small subunit ribosomal RNA
Source: RNAcentral